AAUAGAUACCCUGGUAGUCCACGCCGUAAACGAUGAGUGCUAAGUGUUGGGGGGUUUCCGCCCCUCAGUGCUGCAGCUAACGCAUUAAGCACUCCGCCUGGGGAGUACGGUCGCAAGACUGAAACUCAAAGGAAUUGACGGGGGCCCGCACAAGCGGUGGAGCAUGUGGUUUAAUUCGAAGCAACGCGAAGAACCUUACCAGGUCUUGACAUCCCGGUGGCCACUAUGGAGACAUAGUUUCCCCUUCGGGGGCAACGGUGACAGGUGGUGCAUGGUUGUCGUCAGCUCGUGUCGUGAGAUGUUGGGUUAAGUCCCGCAACGAGCGCAACCCUUAUUCUUAGUUGCCAUCAUUCAGUUGAGCACUCUAAGGAGACUGCCGGUGAUAAACCGGAGGAAGGUGGGGAUGACGUCAAAUCAUCAUGCCCCUUAUGACCUGGGCUACACACGUGCUACAAUGGACGGUACAAACGGUUGCCAACCCGCGAGGGGGAGCUAAUCCGAUAAAACCGUUCUCAGUUCGGAUUGUGGGCUGCAACUCGCCUAC
This 544-nucleotide ribosomal RNA is filed under the name uncultured bacterium. RNAcentral's name for it is "bacterial SSU rRNA". It matches the Rfam family "Bacterial small subunit ribosomal RNA", at positions 777 to 1319 of the family's 1533-position model. The record is from RNAcentral.